UAGAGACUUAUGCUAUAUGAGUUUUAUUACACAUCAAGAAUUUCUAUUUCUUAUCGACAUGCAAAGCAAUGUAAACUGGCUAAGUUGUUCCUAAAUCAUGCCAGUUGAGGAAUAAAGACACCAGCUGUAGUUUCACUGAGCUUAAAAUUUGAAGACCUAAAGCACCUAAAACUCUUGCAGUUUCAUAUUUAAAAACAUUAUGAAAUUUUACUAUUUGUUUUUUUUUUUUACUGAGAUUUUUUUUUACUGAUCUGCUUUCCCCUUUGGCAAAUGUUACUUACUGUAAAGUUCUGCAAAGCUGACAUCUUUGUUCUGGAAGGCUCAGAGAAGCAAAGUGCACAGACAUUUGGCGUAAUACAGAGAGACAGGGAAGUUGCUGCCAAAACCCAGAGGUGCAGAGUGAUGCGUUCAAACCCUGACUCCUGCUGAGAGACACAGAGAGCGAGAGGAUUAAAGAAAGAGAGUGAAAAAGUGGGGUUGAUUCCUUGUGUUCAGCUGAAUGAACACGAUUCACUCUAAAUGAUGGCGAGAUGCAGAGAAAAGAGGGGUGAUGGAGUACGAGGAGUGAAACUAGUUUACAGGAAGCUGGAGUUCUCAUCUGGAGAACCAGAGCUGCUCAUUCCAGACAUAACUAAGCACUAUGAUGUAUACACCGUCUGUGCUGGGUUGCACAAUGUCGAGGAGAGGGGACGGCAUAACCUGGGUCAACUGUUAGUCAGCAAAAGUACGUAACCCCGCCGGUGUCUGCUGUAAUGCCAAGUUCACUUCCGAGCUGCAGAGAGGAGAGAAAGUUUGCAGGGAGUUUUCUGCAGCCUCCGUCUCUACUAGAAAGAACAAAAUGAAGAG
RNAcentral lists this long non-coding RNA (846 nucleotides) under Astyanax mexicanus (Mexican tetra). RNAcentral's name for it is "lncRNA (ENSAMXG00005024156.1)". Lineage: Eukaryota; Metazoa; Chordata; Actinopteri; Characiformes; Acestrorhamphidae. The record is from RNAcentral.